This is a long non-coding RNA of Quercus robur (English oak), 646 nucleotides long. RefSeq lists it as uncharacterized. The transcript is spliced from 5 exons. Lineage: Eukaryota; Viridiplantae; Streptophyta; Magnoliopsida; Fagales; Fagaceae. The record is from RefSeq and is a predicted model, not a curated record.
GUACAGAGCUGUGCAAAGACACUCCUCGAGAGGUGAAGCAAAUUGCCGGCCCACUAUUCUAGGUGUAGUUAUCAGCAUUUUCUAGAUUCCCAUACAUGACUCUGAAGAUGAAGUCCACACAAGAGAAUGUUUAGACCACCACUGCUGCCAAGUCGUUUUGGUGUUAGCCUUUAUCACAGUGAUUUUCUAGGUUGCGAGAGAAAAUCAACCACAAAGCUGAUGCUGCCACUAUGAGGGAGAGAUACCGAUGUCAAACCCCUGUCCCAUGGAAAGGAGGGUGUAACUUGCGUAUGGGCAAAAGAAUGUAGGCCACCACCAUUCAGGGAUUUGAAGGGUUUGGAAGCAUUGAAGAAUUUUAAUAGGAGAAGGGUACAGAUUCUAGCCAGCUCAGGUGCUGACCUGAUUGCAUUCGAAACAAUUCCAAAUAAGCUAGAAGCAAAGAAAUCAACUGGGAAUGUAGAUGAAGAUUUUGUGUCAUAAAUAAGUCAAGCGGAGGGAGGCUGGGGCUUUUCUUUUUGAUGGAAUGCUUGAGAGAAUUGUCGUGUCGUGGACUAGUUUGAUUUGUGGUUAUGCUAGUAGGGAUUAUCCUGAAGAGGCAGCUUCUUUGUUUUUUAAAAUCUUAACCUUGUUUGAAUUGCAUAUGGAU